AGCUUGCUCCCUUAGGUCAGCGGCGGACGGGUGAGUAACACGUGGGUAACCUGCCUGUAAGACUGGGAUAACUCCGGGAAACCGGGGCUAAUACCGGAUGCUUGAUUAACCGCAUGGUUCAAUCAUAAAAGGUGGCUUUUAGCUACCACUUACAGAUGGACCCGCCGCGCAUUAGCUAGUUGGUGAAGUAACGGCUCACCAAGGCGACGAUGCGUAGCCGACCUGAAAGGGUGAUCGGCCACACUGGGACUGAAACACGGCCCAGACUCCUACCGGAAGCAACAGUAGGGAAUCUUCCGCAAUGGACGAAAGUCUGACGGAACAACGCCGCCUGAGUGAUGAAGGUUUUCGGAUCGUAAAACUCUGUUGUUAGGGAAGAACAAGUACCGUUCGAAUAGGGCGGUACCUUGACCGUACCUAACCAGAAAGCCACGGCUAACUACGUGCCAGCAGCCGCGGUAAUACGUAGGUGGCAAGCGUUGUCCGGAAUUAUUGGGCGUAAAGCGCGCGCAGGCGGUUUCUUAAGUCUGAUGUGAAAGCCCCCGGCUCAACCGGGGAGGGUCAUUGGAAACUGGGGA
This 578-nucleotide ribosomal RNA is filed under the name endophytic bacterium BAC-11394. RNAcentral describes it as "bacterial SSU rRNA". It matches the Rfam family "Bacterial small subunit ribosomal RNA", at positions 77 to 639 of the family's 1533-position model. Lineage: Bacteria; Bacillati; Bacillota; Bacilli; Caryophanales. The record is from RNAcentral.